RNAcentral lists this ribosomal RNA (985 nucleotides) under Pseudoalteromonas sp. enrichment culture clone 1508a. Its description in RNAcentral is "bacterial SSU rRNA". It matches the Rfam family "Bacterial small subunit ribosomal RNA", at positions 8 to 988 of the family's 1533-position model. Lineage: Bacteria; Pseudomonadati; Pseudomonadota; Gammaproteobacteria; Alteromonadales; Pseudoalteromonadaceae. The record is from RNAcentral.
AGAGUUUGAUCAUGGCUCAGAUUGAACGCUGGCGGCAGGCCUAACACAUGCAAGUCGAGCGGUAACAGAAAGUAGCUUGCUACUUUGCUGACGAGCGGCGGACGGGUGAGUAAUGCUUGGGAACAUGCCUUGAGGUGGGGGACAACAGUUGGAAACGACUGCUAAUACCGCAUAAUGUCUACGGACCAAAGGGGGCUUCGGCUCUCGCCUUUAGAUUGGCCCAAGUGGGAUUAGCUAGUUGGUGAGGUAAUGGCUCACCAAGGCAACGAUCCCUAGCUGGUUUGAGAGGAUGAUCAGCCACACUGGAACUGAGACACGGUCCAGACUCCUACGGGAGGCAGCAGUGGGGAAUAUUGCACAAUGGGCGAAAGCCUGAUGCAGCCAUGCCGCGUGUGUGAAGAAGGCCUUCGGGUUGUAAAGCACUUUCAGUCAGGAGGAAAGGGUGUGAGUUAAUACCUCACAUCUGUGACGUUACUGACAGAAGAAGCACCGGCUAACUCCGUGCCAGCAGCCGCGGUAAUACGGAGGGUGCGAGCGUUAAUCGGAAUUACUGGGUGUAAAGCGUACGCANGCGGUUUGUUAAGCGAGAUGUGAAAGCCCCGGGCUCAACCUGGGAACUGCAUUUCGAACUGGCAAACUAAAGUGUGAUAGAUGGNGGUAGAAUUUCAGGUGUAGCGGUGAAAUGCGUAGAGAUCUGAAGGAAUACCGAUGGCUAAGGCAGCCACCUGGGUCAACACUGACGCUCAUGUACGAAAGCGUGGGGAGCAAACGGGGAUUAGAUACCCCGGUAGUCCACGCCGUAAACGAUGUCUACUAGAAGCUCGGAACCUCGGUUCUGUUUUUCAAAGCUAACGCAUUAAGUAGACCUCCUGGGGAGUACGGCCGCAAGGUUAAAACUCAAAUGAAUUGACGGGGGCCCCCACAAGCGGUGGAGCAUGUGGUUUAAUUCGAUGCACCCCGAAGAACCUUACCAUCCCUUGACAUC